This is a long non-coding RNA of Xyrauchen texanus (razorback sucker), 649 nucleotides long. RefSeq lists it as uncharacterized. The transcript is spliced from 3 exons. The record is from RefSeq and is a predicted model, not a curated record. Lineage: Eukaryota; Metazoa; Chordata; Actinopteri; Cypriniformes; Catostomidae.
AGGGUAGAGUCACAUGGGGUAACCAAAUUGGCCCGGUUGCUAGGGAGGGUAGAGUCACAUGGGGUAACCAAAUUGGCCUGGUUGCUAGGGAGGGUAGAGUCACAUGGGGUAACCAAAUUGGCCCAGUUGCUAGGGAGGGUAGAGUCACAUGGGGUAACCAAAUUGGCCCGGUUGCUAGGGAGGGGUAGAGUCACAUGGGGUAAACAAAUUGGCCCGGUUGCUAGGGAGGGUAGAGUCACAUGGGGUAACCAAAUUGGCCCGGUUGCUAGGGAGGGUAGAGUCACAUGGGGUAACCAAAUUGGCCCGGUUGCUAGGGAGGGUAGAGUCACAUGGGGUAACCAAAUUGGCCCGGUUGCUAGGGAGGGUAGAGUCACAUGGGGUAAGCAAAUUGGCCGGUUGCUAGGGAGGGUAGAGUCACAUGGGGUAACCAAAUUGGCCCGGUUGCUAGGGAGGGUAGAGUCACAUGGGGUAACCAAAUUGGCCUGGUUGCUAGGGAGGGUAGAGUCACAUGGGGUAACCAAAUUGGCCCAGUUGCUAGGGAGGGUAGAGUCACAUGGGGUAACCAAAUUGGCCCGGUUGCUAGGGAGGGGUAGAGUCACAUGGGGUAAACAAAUUGGCCCGGUUGCUAGGGAGGGUAGAGUCACAUGGG